UACUCCGCCGGCGACCGGCGCACGGGUGCGUAACGCGUAUGCAACCUACCUUUAACAGGGGCAUAACACUGAGAAAUUGGUACUAAUUCCCCAUAACAUUCGAGAAGGCAUCUUCUUGGGUUAAAAACUCCGGUGGUUAAAGAUGGGCAUGCGUUGUAUUAGCUAGUUGGCGAGGUAACGGCUCACCAAGGCAACGAUACAUAGGGGGACUGAGAGGUUAACCCCCCACAUUGGUACUGAGACACGGACCAA
RNAcentral lists this ribosomal RNA (252 nucleotides) under uncultured bacterium. RNAcentral describes it as "partial 16S ribosomal RNA". It matches the Rfam family "Bacterial small subunit ribosomal RNA", at positions 81 to 334 of the family's 1533-position model. The record is from RNAcentral.